UGCAAGUCGAACGGUGAUGGCCAGCUUGCUGGUCUGAUCAGUGGCGAACGGGUGAGUAACACGUGAGCAACCUACCCCAGACUCUGGAAUAACCAUGGGAAACGAUGGCUAAUACCGGAUACGAGACGCACACGCAUGUGUGGUGUCUGGAAAGAUUUAUCGGUCUGGGAUGGGCUCGCGGCCUAUCAGCUUGUUGGUGGGGUAGUGGCCUACCAAGGCGACGACGGGUAGCCGGCCUGAGAGGGCGACCGGCCACACUGGGACUGAGAUACGGCCCAGACUCCUACGGGAGGCAGCAGUGGGGAAUAUUGCACAAUGGGCGCAAGCCUGAUGCAGCGACGCCGCGUGAGGGAUGACGGCCUUCGGGUUGUAAACCUCUUUCAGCAGGGAAGAAGCGCAAGUGACGGUACCUGCAGAAGAAGCGCCGGCUAACUACGUGCCAGCAGCCGCGGUAAUACGUAGGGCGCAAGCGUUGUCCGGAAUUAUUGGGCGUAAAGAGCUCGUAGGCGGUUUGUCGCGUCUGCUGUGAAAACCUAAGGCUCAACCUUGGGCUUGCAGUGGGUACGGGCAGACUAGAGUGCGGUAGGGGUGACUGGAAUUCCUGGUGUAGCGGUGGAAUGCGCAGAUAUCAGGAGGAACACCGAUGGCGAAAGCAGGUCACUGGGCCGCAACUGACGCUGAGGAGCGAAAGCAUGGGGAGCGAACAGGAUUAGAUACCCUGGUAGUCCAUGCCGUAAACGUUGGGCACUAGUGUGGGGCUCAUUCCACGAGUUCCGUGCCGCAGC
RNAcentral lists this ribosomal RNA (785 nucleotides) under Cellulomonas sp. CC4W2. RNAcentral's name for it is "bacterial SSU rRNA". It matches the Rfam family "Bacterial small subunit ribosomal RNA", at positions 56 to 852 of the family's 1533-position model. The record is from RNAcentral. Lineage: Bacteria; Bacillati; Actinomycetota; Actinomycetes; Micrococcales; Cellulomonadaceae.